RNAcentral lists this ribosomal RNA (435 nucleotides) under uncultured bacterium. Its description in RNAcentral is "partial 16S ribosomal RNA". It matches the Rfam family "Bacterial small subunit ribosomal RNA", at positions 29 to 507 of the family's 1533-position model. The record is from RNAcentral.
AACGAACGCUGGCGGCAUGCCUAACACAUGCAAGUCGAACGAUUGCCUUCGGGUGAUAGUGGCGCACGGGUGCGUAACGCGUGGGAAUCUGCCCUUAGGUUCGGAAUAACAGCUGGAAACGGCUGCUAAUACCGGAUGAUAUCGCGAGAUCAAAGAUUUAUCGCCUGAGGAUGAGCCCGCGUUGGAUUAGGUAGUUGGUGGGGUAAAGGCCUGCCAAGCCGACGAUCCAUAGCUGGUCUGAGAGGAUGAUCAGCCACACUGGGACUGAGACACGGCCCAGACUCCUACGGGAGGCAGCAGUGGGGAAUAUUGGACAAUGGGCGCAAGCCUGAUCCAGCAAUGCCGCGUGAGUGAUGAAGGCCCUAGGGUUGUAAAGCUCUUUUACCCGGGAAGAUAAUGACUGUACCGGGAGAAUAAGCCCCGGCUAACUCCGUG